GAUGAACGCUGGCGGCGUGCUUAACACAUGCAAGUCGAGCGAAGCAUUUGCAGUUGAUUUCUUCGGAAUGAUUCUGUUUAUGACUGAGCGGGCGACGGGUGAAGGUACGCGUGGGUAACCUGCCUCAUACAGGGGGAUAACAGUUAGAAAUGACUGCUAAUACCGCAUAAGCGCACAGUGCCGCAUGGCGCUGUGUGAAAAACUCCGGUGGUAUGAGAUGGACCCGCGUCUGAUUAGCUGGUUGGUGAGGUAACGGCCCACCAAGGCGACGAUCAGUAGCCGACCUGAGAGGGUGAUCGGCCACAUUGGGACUGAGACACGGCCCAA
Molecule: ribosomal RNA, 327 nt
Filed under: uncultured bacterium
Lineage: Bacteria
Description: bacterial SSU rRNA
Rfam family: Bacterial small subunit ribosomal RNA
Source: RNAcentral